Molecule: ribosomal RNA, 194 nt
Filed under: Firmicutes bacterium T2
Lineage: Bacteria; Bacillati; Bacillota
Description: partial 16S ribosomal RNA
Rfam family: Bacterial small subunit ribosomal RNA
Source: RNAcentral
CCUACGGGAGGCAGCAGUAGGGAAUCUACCGCAAUGGACGAAAGUCUGACGGAGCAACGCCGCGUGAGUGAUGAAGGUUUUCGGAUCGUAAAACUCUGUUAUUAGGGAAGAACAAAUGUGUAAGUAACUGUGCACAUCUUGACGGUACCUAAUCAGAAAGCCACGGCUAACUACGUGCCAGCAGCCGCGGUAAU